This 465-nucleotide ribosomal RNA is filed under the name uncultured bacterium. RNAcentral's name for it is "bacterial SSU rRNA". It matches the Rfam family "Bacterial small subunit ribosomal RNA", at positions 338 to 795 of the family's 1533-position model. The record is from RNAcentral.
CCUACGGGGGGCUGCAGUCGAGAAUAAUUCACAAUGGGGGCAACCCUGAUGGUGCAACGCCGCGUGGAGGAUGACGGUCUUCGGAUUGUAAACUCCUGUCAUCUGGGAGAAAGACCUGACGGUAAAUAGCCGGCAGGGUUGAUAGUACCAGAAGAGGAAGGGACGGCUAACUUCGUGCCAGCAGCCGCGGUAAUACGAAGGUCCCGAGCGUUGUUCGGAAUCACUGGGCGUAAAGGGAGCGUAGGCGGCGCGGUAAGUCGGAUGUGAAAUCCCGGGGCUCAACCCCGGAACUGCAUCUGAUACUGCCGUGCUAGAGUAAUGGAGAGGUAGCUGGAAUUAUCGGUGUAGCAGUGAAAUGCGUAGAUAUCGAUAGGAACACUCGUGGCGAAAGCGAGCUACUGGACAUUUACUGACGCUGAGGCUCGAAGGCUAGGGUAGCGAAAGGGAUUAGAUACCCCAGUAGUC